This 594-nucleotide long non-coding RNA is filed under the name Populus trichocarpa (black cottonwood). Its description in RNAcentral is "long non-coding RNA (PTRI_LNC003032)". Lineage: Eukaryota; Viridiplantae; Streptophyta; Magnoliopsida; Malpighiales; Salicaceae. The record is from RNAcentral.
UAAUAACUCUCAAUAAAUAAAUCAAUAGAUAUAGAGAUAAUCAAAUAAACAAUAUCCUUGGAAGUUACACAACCGUUGGCCUUAGUUGUUAAGGCAUUUUCUUUUACAUCUGAUAUCCACGGCUUACAUGUAUUUGUGUGUAUGUGUGUGUGUCUAUAUAUAUACCGGAUACCAUCAUAGACACUAAAGGAAAGCAAAAAUCCCUUGAAGCUUGAAACUUACUAAAUCCAUGUGAAUGAUCGAUGGAUGCUACACAAUCUUUUGAAGAAUGAUAUCUAGCAUCAACAUGGUGGUGGUGGUGGUGGUGGAGGACUUGAAUAUCGUCGUGGUUGAGGUGGCAGAGGACUUCUGUAAUAAAUAGGAGCAUUAACCCUUGGAGGUGGAGGUGAUGGCUUUGUCCUUCUAGACACCCCCUUCAACUUGUAAUAAGAGAUUUCAUUUGAUGAAAUCGCAUCAGGGGAAGACCAAGAUGGAGCUUCCCAUGCAGAGGCUUUGCCUGUGUUACUGAUAUGAGAUGAUAGAAGCAGCUCAUGGAUCAAAAUGAAAGAAAGCAAAUAAGCUAUGCCGCCCAUUGUUGCUUGUUAUUCAUGGAAU